CAAGACGAGGUUUUGAAUGGAGAA
This 24-nucleotide non-coding RNA is filed under the name Cricetulus griseus (Chinese hamster). The record is from RNAcentral. Lineage: Eukaryota; Metazoa; Chordata; Mammalia; Rodentia; Cricetidae.